This 305-nucleotide ribosomal RNA is filed under the name uncultured cyanobacterium. RNAcentral's name for it is "bacterial SSU rRNA". It matches the Rfam family "Bacterial small subunit ribosomal RNA", at positions 409 to 729 of the family's 1533-position model. Lineage: Bacteria; Bacillati; Cyanobacteriota. The record is from RNAcentral.
GGAAGGCCUUUGGGUUGUAAACCUCUUUUCUCAGGGAAGAAGAUCUGACGGUACCUGAGGAAUAAGCAUCGGCUAACUCCGUGCCAGCAGCCGCGGUAAUACGGAGGAUGCAAGCGUUAUCCGGAAUUAUUGGGCGUAAAGCGUCCGCAGGUGGUCUUUCAAGUCUGCUGUCAAAGACCAGAGCUUAACUCUGGGCAGGCGGUGGAAACUGAGAGACUAGAGUUCGGUAGGGGUAGCGGGAAUUCCCAGUGCAGCGGUGAAAUGCGUAGAUAUUGGAAGAACAUCCCCCUAGGCGGCCGCGAAUC